AAUCGAGAUAGUUAACUAGACUUUAACGGUGAAUACAUACGUAUUAGAUAUUGCAUUAAAUCGAACAGAUUCAACAUUAGCGCCAAAUGUAGCAUUCUCGUUCAUGUUACAAUCCCCCCGUUCGUAGGAUUUCCAGGAAUCACACUUAAUAGCCUGAUAGUUAUUGGAGUUGAUGGAUUCGAUGAAAUACAAAUAGCUUUUAAUAUGACUGCAAAACACUGGAAAAAUAGGCACAAAAGACUCCAAACUGGUAGGAGUAACAAAAGUAAUAGUUGUACAACCGGGUUGUGGCCGUACACCCCCAUUUACAUAAAAA
This is a long non-coding RNA of Agrilus planipennis (emerald ash borer), 316 nucleotides long. RefSeq lists it as uncharacterized. The record is from RefSeq and is a predicted model, not a curated record. Lineage: Eukaryota; Metazoa; Arthropoda; Insecta; Coleoptera; Buprestidae. The transcript has 3 exons.